UCCUUCGUAUGUGAUGUAACGUUUAUCAACGAACGAGUUACACGUGGCGUUAAAGAUAUAUUUCGUCCACUUAGUUUAUCCAGACAGACGUACAACUUGUUGACACUAUGAAUUAUAUACUCUCAGAAGCGCACUAAGCACAAAGCCCCAGCAAUUUUUGCAGCGCCGGGCCGCGGGGUGGCGGGAACACUGUGCCGCCAACACACCGUGGAGAGAUGACUGCGACAGGUGUCCGCACUGUGGCAGUUAUCGCCGGAACUGGACGGUUAUGCUAACAUGAGGUAGGGAGGGAAGAAGGACGCUGGGAAAGGCCUUUGUCUUCCUGGGGAAUAGCAACUAACCGCUUCUCUAUUUACCUGUUGUCUUAUUAAUCCAUUCAUCUACAGCUUCUCUUAUUUACUUAUUUGCUCUUCUUUUAGUCAUACAGUUUUUCAUCAGUCACCUAUUUAUGUACUCAUCACUUGUUCAUCCACCUGCUCCACCUCACUCAUCACUAUCUCUUACUCACUCUCCCUCCCGCCGCAGGGAGGAGCGCUUCAACAACCUGUCUCCGCACCUGUCCUACGCCAUCACCAACGAGAGUUCCAAUUACCUGCUGUUCGGUAACAGCGCCAAUGUCCUUCAGUCCUACGUGUAUGAGCGUGUCCAGCCCUUCGCCAGAGUGGCCGCGCCCCUCCCGCCCGAGGCCUGGACGCACCUCUGUCACGUCGUCACCCCCACCACUUACACCCUGUACUGCAGAGGGGAGGUGAGGAGGUGUGGAGGGUUAGGGGCUAAGUGUGUGUAAGGUUGGGUGCAGGGGUGAAGUGUGUGGAAGGUUGGGUGCAGGGGUGAAGUGUGUGUAAGGUUGGGUGCAGGGGUGAAGUGUGUGGAAGGUUGGGUGCAGGGGUGAAGUGUGUGGAAGGUUGG
Eriocheir sinensis (Chinese mitten crab) is the source of this 909-nucleotide long non-coding RNA. RefSeq lists it as uncharacterized. The record is from RefSeq and is a predicted model, not a curated record. Lineage: Eukaryota; Metazoa; Arthropoda; Malacostraca; Decapoda; Varunidae. The transcript is spliced from 3 exons.